AUUGGAGGUGAUGCCUGCCCAAUGAUUGUAUUUAAACGCAAGUAAUAAAAUAUAAAGUUAACUUGGCUAAGGACAAUUAAAUGGCCGCGGUAAAAUUGACCGUGAUAAUGUAGCGCAAUCAAUAGCUAAUUAAUUGUUGGCAAGGAUGAAUGGCUUAACGAAUGCCCCACUGUCUCAAGAUAAAACCCAGUGAAAUUGAAUUUGUAGUGAAGAUGCUACGUCCAAAUUGUUAGACGAGAAGACCCUAUUGAGCUUUACUGGGGACUUAUCUGGUUAUUUUUUCUAAUUAUUGUGUAGAUUAUGUGGGAAAUCUGUGUAUAGCUAGAUAAUGAAAAACCACUCUUUAAUUUAAAAAGAACUAAAAUCGGAUUAUUCGAUUGAAAGGGGUAAGUUGGACAGUUUGGUUGGGGCGACCGCCUUCUAAAAAGUAACGAAGGUGUGCAUACGGUAAAUAAUCAAAAUAAAGUUAAAGCCUGACAGCAAGGAGGACAUAUUGAGCUGGCAUGGGAACGUGCCUGUGGGCUAUAUUGACCCGUUAGUUUAGGGUGGGGUAGUUAACGAGCAACGAAUAAAAGUUACCAUAGGGAUAACAGCGUAAUAUUGUUUGAGAGUUUAGAUCGACGACGAUGUUUGCGACCUCGAUGUUGAAUUGCGGUUUCCUGGAGGUGCAGCGGCUUCCAAGGGUUGGACUGUUCGUCCAUUAAAACCGU
This 710-nucleotide ribosomal RNA is filed under the name Demospongiae sp. Unknown2009PCR1B6. RNAcentral's name for it is "partial 16S ribosomal RNA". It matches the Rfam family "Bacterial large subunit ribosomal RNA", at positions 1845 to 2597 of the family's 2925-position model. Lineage: Eukaryota; Metazoa; Porifera; Demospongiae. The record is from RNAcentral.